UCGAAUGUUUUGCUGAAUGUGGCAGAGAUAAGUACUGUUUAAGUGUUCAACUCUAUCCUGAUGGGCAAACCUGUGUCACUCUCAGAGAACGUUUUAAAAACGUUGAUGUGACGUCAGCUGCUGUCCCUGGGUAUCAGCUUUUCCAGACUGAUAAACCUGUGUCUACGAUUGGGGCUGACUGUGAUCUGGACGUGGACUGCAAGUCUCUGCACAACUCCAACUGUCACGAGGGUUCAUGUAGGUGCGACGUUGGGCAUCACCCUGAUGGAAACACAUGUCGCAAAGACCCAGUGUCAUGUGCAUCAUCUGUCGGCUACACACAUGAUGUUGGGAGUGGCCUGUGCUACAGGAUAGAAACACAAGUGAAACAGAACUGGGCUGAUGCUGAGAGUAGCUGCACCAUCAGCCUCGGACAUCUAGUUAGAUCUGACACCAAGAGCAAACAGGAUAAACUGAAGGUGCUUCUGGAACAACUUGCGUUAGAGUCAUUUUGGAUUGGCGCCCGAUAUGAUGAUGAUGAGAAGGAGUGGGUGUGGCUUGACAACACCACCGCAUCUCUUCUGUGGGGCCCUGGACAACCUAGUGGAGAUGGCAACUGUGCAGACCUUCA
Molecule: long non-coding RNA, 610 nt
Organism: Haliotis rufescens (red abalone)
Lineage: Eukaryota; Metazoa; Mollusca; Gastropoda; Lepetellida; Haliotidae
Exons: 4
Source: RefSeq, a predicted model, not a curated record